This 532-nucleotide unclassified non-coding RNA is filed under the name Hevea brasiliensis (rubber tree). Lineage: Eukaryota; Viridiplantae; Streptophyta; Magnoliopsida; Malpighiales; Euphorbiaceae. The record is from RNAcentral.
UAAAUUCUGUGUACUACAUUCCAUCUACCUACAUUAACAACAAGGAUAAGGAUAAGACGGAUUGUAUGAUUUAAUGAUAUGUACCGGAGUAGAGAAGAACAGGGGAUAACUAUGUACCAAAGCAGUUGAAACAGGAGGCCAAGAACUAGUAGUCACGUCCAUAUGCAAGCAAUGCAGCAUAUGAAUUUGCAUGUUAUAUUCCUCAUCUCCCCAGUUCCCCUUUAUAAUUAACGAGAUCCAGUGUAUAAGCUAUAUAAGUUUCUAUUAUACGGUGAGUGACUAACGUCCAUUGUGAUAGUAUUUUCAGCUUUUUGAUGAUUCUGAAGUGCACAACUGCCCCUCAACCAACAACUGUUGCCGGAAUACAAUGUUGAAUUGUGCUAAUUCCUUUUUCAGUUCUCUCUCCAUGUCCUCUCCAACAGGUAAAGCAGUUUUGUUCCCAGCUUGCCAGUUUGAAUCCUUCGUGAGAAUGUAGAACUUCCACAUCUUGGAAGUUCAAACAAUCAUUUUGUUGUAAUAUGACUGAUAUCCG